Molecule: ribosomal RNA, 402 nt
Filed under: uncultured Skermanella sp.
Lineage: Bacteria; Pseudomonadati; Pseudomonadota; Alphaproteobacteria; Rhodospirillales; Azospirillaceae
Description: bacterial SSU rRNA
Rfam family: Bacterial small subunit ribosomal RNA
Source: RNAcentral
CUACGGGAGGCAGCAGUGGGGAAUAUUGGACAAUGGGCGCAAGCCUGAUCCAGCAAUGCCGCGUGAGUGAUGAAGGCCUUCGGGUUGUAAAGCUCUUUCGCACGCGACGAUGAUGACGGUAGCGUGAGAAGAAGCCCCGGCUAACUUCGUGCCAGCAGCCGCGGUAAUACGAAGGGGGCUAGCGUUGUUCGGAAUUACUGGGCGUAAAGGGCGCGUAGGCGGUACUUCAAGUCAGGCGUGAAAGCCCCGGGCUCAACCUGGGAACCGCGCUUGAGACUGGAGAACUAGAGUUCGGGAGAGGAUGGUGGAAUUCCCAGUGUAGAGGUGAAAUUCGUAGAUAUUGGGAAGAACACCGAUGGCGAAGGCAGCCAUCUGGACCGACACUGACGCUGAGGCGCGAAA